AGCUACUCAGGAGGCUGAGGCAGGAGGAUUGCUUGAGCUCAGGAAUUGGAGACCAGCCUGGUCAACAUGGUGAGACCUUCUCUCUACAAAAAAUACAAAAUUAGCUGGGUGUGGUAGUGUGUGCCUGUAGUCCCAGCUACUCAGGAGGCUGAGGUGGGAGGAUCACUGGAGUCUGGGAGUUCAAGGCUGCAGUGAGCUGUGAUUGCACCAUUGCAUUCCAGCCUUGGUGACAGAAUGAGAUCCUGUCUGAAAAAGAAGUACAUAUCUUAAAGGCAAAAUUUUAUGGAUUUACCAAAUGAUACACCCUUGUAACUACCACAAAAAGUUUAUGAUAUAGAAUUUUUUUCAUCAUUCCCAAGAGUUCUCUCAUGUUCUCUUUCAGUUGACAUUCUACAUAGGCAACCACUGACCUAGUUUCUAUCACUACAGAGUUUUCCCUGUUCUAUUUCUUUAACAGAGACAGGGCUAUUCAGAUUUUCUGUUUCUUCUUGUGUCAGAUUUUUACAUGUUGUAUUUUUCAAGAAAUGUGUCCAAUUUAUCUAAGUUGUUGAAUUUAUUGGCAUAAUGUUAUGCACAAUAUUUCCUUAUUAUUCUAUUAAUAACUAUGUGAUCUGUGGCAUAAAAUGUAAGCAAAUACUUACCAUAAAUCCUGCCUUAAGCAAAUUAUAGGCUGUGAAGCAUAUAGCAUUCUUGCCUUUCCCAGAGGGGUCCACUUCAGUUGUUUUACACAGUCCUUCUGAAGCAGGACUUACAUGCCUUUCUUUAUGGCAUAUAAGCCCUGGGUCCGGGUUGGGGGAAAGUGUGGGGAUCCACCAUCUCAUCUCAUGGCUGCCCUAGACAUGGCUUCUGUUCCUAAGUUCCUAUUAAAGGUUUCUUUCUGAGAAAACGGAUUUGUCAGCCUCUUUCUUCAACAUCUCAGCUACCUUAAUUUUGGGGGGUAGGUUUGCAUAGACCUGCUGUCUAUGGAACAUCCACAAAUUUUGAUUUUUAAAAUUAUUAUUCAGGCUAAAAUAUCUUUUAAAUUUACUGUGAUUUCUUCUUUAACUCAGUUAUUUAGAACUAUGUUGUGGGACUUCCAAAUAUUUGGGAGUUUUAAGAUAUCUUAUUGUUAUUGAUUUCUAAUUUCAUUCUGUUAUGUUUAGAGAGCAUAUUCUGUAUUUUUCAAUCCUUUGAAAUUUAUUAAGCCACAUUUUAUAUUUCAGCACGAGAUCUAUCUUGGUAACUAGUCCAUGUGCACUUGAAAAUCGUUGUUUAUUCUGCAGAUACUAGAGAUGGGGAUCUCACUAUGUUGCCCAGGCUUGUCUUGAACUCCUG
RNAcentral lists this long non-coding RNA (1314 nucleotides) under Homo sapiens (human). RNAcentral's name for it is "HSALNT0377393". Lineage: Eukaryota; Metazoa; Chordata; Mammalia; Primates; Hominidae. The record is from RNAcentral.